AAACACCUUAUAACACAUUAUACACUUUACAUUUGUUAAUAUAAUUUUGUGUAUUUGUUAUGAAUUGUUUUUUAUUGAUUAUGUGACCUGAUGAUGUCACACCACCUGUAAUACAUUCACACACAGUAAUAUGCGGCACUCCCAUUGCAAACAAUUGAAAAAUAUAUCCUGGCCUCAGGAAAAAAGCUUUGGUGGACACAUGGCCUUACACGACUUGGAUAUUGGAUGUGUCACCAGUGUGAAUGGCUUAUAGACUCCUGAUCCAUCCAAAUAUGAACAUGUCUAGAGUUCACCAUGAUACAGGAUGCACUCCAUUCAGAAGUGAUCAUUCCUAUUCCUAUGCACCGUUGCUGAUUGUACAGCUGCUGGAAGUGAAUUUCCCCAGUUUCACUAGCUACUGCCUAUCUGUCAGGAAGCUGGUCAUCCAUUGGCAGAUAUAGGUGGGAACAUAGAGCUGGGUUAAUUUAGAACAGGAAUGAUGGUGUUGAUUUAAACAAAUAGACCCCUUCACGGUUGAUGUCACAGGAAAAUUCGAAGUGCGUAGUGCGCAUGUCGGGGUCAGAAGUCAGAACGUUCCAUCGUGUCUCGUCGUGUGUUAUCCAGAUAAUUUCUCGUCAACAUGCCUACUUGUUGUGUCGUGGAUUGUGCAAAUCGCACCAGUUGUGGAGUCAAGUUUUUCAGGAUUCCUGCAGGAUCUCAUCCUUUUAAAAAAAAAUAGAUGUCAUCUGUGGCUGCAAGCAAUUAAACGGGCAGACUGGGACAAUGCUACGAUCCAAGAGGCUCGUGUUUGUAGUGCUCACUUCAUAUCAGGAGAGGCAUCACUUGACUCCAGUAGUCCUGACUUGUGCCCUCCUUGUUUGUGUACAAAAAACAAAGCCAGACACCUAAGACAAAAAUGGAAAGGUAUCUGAGGAAAAGGAAGAGAGAUGAACGCCCUGACAUGCAACCUGCUUCUUUCCAGACUGACACAUAACUUUCCUUUAUCAGGAGAAGAUCCACAUAUGCCUCAUGCUAGAAUCCACUGACUAUAAAUAUACUUUAUUAGAAUAAAUCCGUAAAAGAGGACCAAAGCUGCAAGGAGAAAAGAGGUGUGUAAAAUAACUGGGGAAACUGUGCAGAAAAAGACUUUAACCAUCAGUCCAAAAGUAUCAAAUGCUGAUAUAUAUAUUAUAAACUAUUUGUUUUGAUAUAAAAUAAUAGGCUAGUGUUUACUGAAACCUGACUUGAGAGUAUAUUUGUAUUUUAUGAACAGUUAAGAUAUGUAUGUAUGUAUGUAAUUAUGUA
Long non-coding RNA from Xyrauchen texanus (razorback sucker), 1284 nucleotides. RefSeq lists it as uncharacterized. The record is from RefSeq and is a predicted model, not a curated record. The transcript has 4 exons. NCBI's taxonomy places the organism in Eukaryota, Metazoa, Chordata, Actinopteri, Cypriniformes, Catostomidae.